AGGACGAACGCUGGCGGCGUGCUUAACACAUGCAAGUGGAGCGACGAACCAGGGCUUGCCCUGGGGCAGAGCCGCGAACGGGUGAGUAACACGUGGGUUACCUGCCUCGAUGACCGGGACAACCCGAGGAAACUCGGGCUAAUACCGGAUGUGCCCGCAAGGGGAAAGGAAGCUUCGGCCUCCGCAUCGAGAUGGGCCCGCGGCCCAUUAGCUUGUUGGUGAGGUAACGGCUCACCAAGGCUUCGAUGGGUAGCUGGUCUGAGAGGACGAUCAGCCACACUGGGACUGAGACACGGCCCAGACUCCUACGGGAGGCAGCAGUGGGGAAUCUUGCGCAAUGCGCGAAAGCGUGACGCAGCAACGCCGCGUGGGGGAAGAAGGCUUUCGGGUUGUAAACCCCUUUCAGUUGGGACGAAGCUCCGUCGGUGAAUAGCCGGCUGGAGUGACGGUACCUUCACAAGAAGCACCGGCUAACGUACGCGCCAGCAGCCGCGGU
RNAcentral lists this ribosomal RNA (496 nucleotides) under uncultured bacterium. RNAcentral's name for it is "SSU rRNA". It matches the Rfam family "Bacterial small subunit ribosomal RNA", at positions 26 to 521 of the family's 1533-position model. The record is from RNAcentral.